GCCUCCUUAUUUUAAACCUGUGACGGGCCGGCUCGCCGCUUGCUCCUUCACCUCUGCAGUGCCGUCCGGCUGCUCCAACUCGAAAGCGCGCUUGUGGAUAAUACCGCGCAGCAUCAGAUGUAGCGCCGGUGACUUGCAGGCCUUCAAAUCAGUGGAGCGACACUCGGAAAUGGACACCACAUGCUGAGUGCGUUCUUUCUCGCUUGCGCGCCGAGACAGAGCUGAAGAUUGACAGUCGUUCCACCGCUGAUGUCACUUCCUUCUGUCUGCCCUCCUGGACCCGCCCCUUCCUUCCUCAAGCCCGAAUGACCAGAAACCCAGCCGUCUUCUUUUCAGUUCUGCGUUGGACUCGCGUCUGAAAAGACAUUGAACAUUUCUUUGUUAAAAAGACCAUCCAUUUCUGUUUGCUUCACAUAUCCACAGUCACGUCGGUGACCCAAACAUUUUUCUGUGUUGGUUUCUUCUCUUACAACACGAAAAAUGGCUGAUUUUUUUUUUGUUGUACUGCUAAAUAAAAUAGUUGCUAUGUUUUUAUUUAGCAAAAUAAUCUGCCAAUGAGGUGAGCAGGGUAAGCAAUGUUUCUUAAACUACGCCAAAUCAUCAUAAACACAAAAUUCUUAAUAGGCCAACAGCUCUUACA
Molecule: long non-coding RNA, 640 nt
Organism: Polypterus senegalus (gray bichir)
Lineage: Eukaryota; Metazoa; Chordata; Cladistia; Polypteriformes; Polypteridae
Exons: 3
Source: RefSeq, a predicted model, not a curated record